RNAcentral lists this ribosomal RNA (795 nucleotides) under uncultured Pelagibacteraceae bacterium. RNAcentral's name for it is "bacterial SSU rRNA". It matches the Rfam family "Bacterial small subunit ribosomal RNA", at positions 35 to 878 of the family's 1533-position model. The record is from RNAcentral. Lineage: Bacteria; Pseudomonadati; Pseudomonadota; Alphaproteobacteria; Candidatus Pelagibacterales; Candidatus Pelagibacteraceae.
GCUGGCGGCACGCCUAACACAUGCAAGUCGAACGAAGUAGCAAUACUUAGUGGCAGACGGGUGAGUAACAUGUAGGUAUCUGCCCUUUGGCCUGGAAUAACACGAGGAAACUUGUGCUAAUACCGGAUAAGUCUUUACGGAGAAAGCUUUAUGCACCAUUGGAUGAGCCUGCACUUGAUUAGUUUGUUGGUGGGGUAAUGGCCUACCAAGACUGUGAUCAAUAGCUGAUUUGAGAGGAUGAUCAGCCACAUUGGGACUGAGACACGGCCCAAACUCCUACGGGAGGCAGCAGUGGGGAAUCUUGCACAAUGGAGGAAACUCUGAUGCAGCGAUGCCGCGUGAGUGAAGAAGGCCUUUGGGUUGUAAAGCUCUUUCGUCGGGGAAGAAAAUGACUGUACCCGAAUAAGAAGGUCCGGCUAACUUCGUGCCAGCAGCCGCGGUAAUACGAAGGGACCUAGCGUAGUUCGGAAUUACUGGGCUUAAAGAGUUCGUAGGUGGUUGAAAAAGUUGGUGGUGAAAUCCCAGAGCUUAACUCUGGAACUGCCAUCAAAACUUUUCAGCUAGAGUAUGAUAGAGGAAAGCAGAAUUUCUAGUGUAGAGGUGAAAUUCGUAGAUAUUAGAAAGAAUACCAAUUGCGAAGGCAGCUUUCUGGAUCAUUACUGACACUGAGGAACGAAAGCAUGGGUAGCGAAGAGGAUUAGAUACCCUCGUAGUCCAUGCCGUAAACGAUGUGUGUUAGACGUUGGAAAUUUAUUUUCAGUGUCGCAGCGAAAGCGAUAAACACACCGCCUGGGG